CCUACGGGCGGCAGCAGUGAGGAAUACUGGUCAAUGGACGAGAGUCUGAACCAGCCAAGUAGCGUGAAGGAUGACUGCCCUAUGGGUUGUAAACUUCUUUUAUAUGGGAAUAAAAUGUUCCACGUGUGGGAUUUUGUAUGUACCAUAUGAAUAAGGAUCGGCUAACUCCGUGCCAGCAGCCGCGGUAAUACGGAGGAUCCGAGCGUUAUCCGGAUUUAUUGGGUUUAAAGGGAGCGUAGGUGGAUUGUUAAGUCAGUUGUGAAAGUUUGCGGCUCAACCGUAAAAUUGCAGUUGAAACUGGCAGUCUUGAGUACAGUAGAGGUGGGCGGAAUUCGUGGUGUAGCGGUGAAAUGCUUAGAUAUCACGAAGAACUCCGAUUGCGAAGGCAGUUCACUGGACUGCAACUGACACUGAGGCUCGAAAGUGUGGGUAUCAAACAGGAUUAGAUACCCCUGUAGUC
Molecule: ribosomal RNA, 460 nt
Filed under: uncultured bacterium
Lineage: Bacteria
Description: partial 16S ribosomal RNA
Rfam family: Bacterial small subunit ribosomal RNA
Source: RNAcentral